RNAcentral lists this ribosomal RNA (2918 nucleotides) under Lacticaseibacillus casei. Its description in RNAcentral is "23S ribosomal RNA". It matches the Rfam family "Bacterial large subunit ribosomal RNA". Lineage: Bacteria; Bacillati; Bacillota; Bacilli; Lactobacillales; Lactobacillaceae. The record is from RNAcentral.
GGUUAAGUUACAAAGGGCGCACGGUGGAUGCCUUGGCACUAGGAGCCGAUGAAGGACGGAACUAAUACCGAUAUGCUUCGGGGAGCUAUAAGUAAGCUUUGAUCCGGAGAUUUCCGAAUGGGGGAACCCAGUACACAUCAGUGUAUUGCCUGCAAGUGAAUUCAUAGCUUGUUGGCGGCAGACGCGGGGAACUGAAACAUCUCAGUACCCGCAGGAAGAGAAAGAAAACUCGAUUCCCAUAGUAGCGGCGAGCGAAGUGGGAAGAGCCCAAACCGAGAAGCUUGCUUCUCGGGGUUGUAGGACUGGACAUUGGAGUUACCAAAGUUCGACGUAGUCGAAGUCAGCUGGAAAGCUGCGCCAUAGAAGGUGAAAGCCCUGUAAGCGAAACGGCGGACUCUCCGUCCAGAAUCCUGAGUACAGCGGAACACGUGAAAUUCCGUCGGAAUCCGGGAGGACCAUCUCCCAAGGCUAAAUACUCCCUAGUGACCGAUAGUGAACCAGUACCGUGAGGGAAAGGUGAAAAGCACCCCGGAAGGGGAGUGAAACAGUUCCUGAAACCGUGUGCCUACAAUUAGUCAAAGCCCGUUAAGGGGUAAUGGCGUGCCUUUUGUAGAAUGAACCGGCGAGUUACGUUUGCCUGCGAGGUUAAGAUGAAAAGUCGGAGCCGGAGCGAAAGCGAGUCUGAACAGGGCGAAUGAGUAGGCAGAUGUAGACCCGAAACCAAGUGACCUACCCAUGACCAGGUUGAAGGUGUGGUGAAACACACUGGAGGACCGAACCCAUGUAUGUUGAAAAAUGCUGGGAUGAGUUGUGGGUAGCGGUGAAAUUCCAAACGAACUUGGAGAUAGCUGGUUCUCUCCGAAAUAGCUUUAGGGUUAGCCUCGGAGGAUGGAUCAUGGAGGUAGAGCACUGUUUGAACUAGGGGCCCAUCAAGGGUUACUGAAUUCAGAUAAACUCCGAAUACCAUCGAUCUUACUCCGGGAGUCAGACAGUGAGCGAUAAGGUCCAUUGUCGAAAGGGGAACAGCCCAGAUCACCAGUUAAGGUCCCUAAAUUUAUGCUAAGUGGAAAAGGAUGUGGCGUUGCACAGACAACUAGGAUGUUGGCUCAGAAGCAGCCACCAUUUAAAGAGUGCGUAAUAGCUCACUAGUCGAGUGGCACUGCGCCGAAAAUAUACCGGGGCUAAGCAUAAUACCGAAACUGUGGGUGCACCCGUAAGGGUGCGCGGUAGGAGAGCGUUCUAAGGGCGUUGAAGGUCGAUCGUGAGGACGGCUGGAGCGCUUAGAAGUGAGAAUGCCGGCAUGAGUAGCGAAAGAUCAGUGAGAAUCUGAUCCACCGUAUGACUAAGGUUUCCUGGGGAAGGCUCGUCCUCCCAGGGUUAGUCGGGAUCUAAGGCGAGGCCGCAAGGCGUAGUCGAUGACAAGCAGGUUGAGAUUCCUGCACUAGUUUAUUUUGUUUAAGCGAUGGAGGGACGCAGGAGGCUAAGGAAAGCGCACAGCUGGAAAAGUGCGUCCAAGCCGCAAGUCUGGUGGCGAGUGAAAUGCUUGCGACCAUAAGGACAAGCGGUGAUGGGGAGCGAAAUUAAAGUAGCGAAGUUCCUGAUGUCACACUGCCAAGAAAAGCUUCUAGUGAGAAAUAAACUACCCGUACCGCAAACCGACACAGGUAGUCGAGGAGAGUAUCCUCAGGUGAGCGAGCGAACUCUCGUUAAGGAACUCGGCAAAAUGACCCCGUAACUUCGGAAGAAGGGGUGCUGACCGCAAGGUCAGCCGCAGUGAAUAGGCCCAAACAACUGUUUAUCAAAAACACAGGUCUCUGCUAAAUCGAAAGAUGAUGUAUAGGGGCUGACGCCUGCCCGGUGCUGGAAGGUUAAGAGGAUGAGUUAGCGCAAGCGAAGCCCAGAAUUGAAGCCCCAGUAAACGGCGGCCGUAACUAUAACGGUCCUAAGGUAGCGAAAUUCCUUGUCGGGUAAGUUCCGACCCGCACGAAAGGCGUAAUGAUUUGGGCACUGUCUCAACGAGAGACUCGGUGAAAUUAUAGUACCCGUGAAGAUGCGGGUUACCCGCGACAGGACGGAAAGACCCCAUGGAGCUUUACUGUAGCUUGAUAUUGAGUGUUGGUACCGCUUGUACAGGAUAGGUAGGAGCCGUAGAGAUCGGAACGCUAGUUUCGAUGGAGGCGUUGGUGGGAUACUACCCUAGCUGUAUGAACACUCUAACCCGCGCCACUGAUCGUGGCGGGAGACAGUGUCAGGUAGGCAGUUUGACUGGGGCGGUCGCCUCCUAAAAUGUAACGGAGGCGCCCAAAGGUUCCCUCAGAAUGGUUGGAAAUCAUUCGGCAGAGUGUAAAGGUAGAAGGGAGCUUGACUGCGAGACUGACAAGUCGAGCAGGGACGAAAGUCGGGCUUAGUGAUCCGGUGGUUCCGUAUGGAAGGGCCAUCGCUCAACGGAUAAAAGCUACCCUGGGGAUAACAGGCUUAUCUCCCCCAAGAGUCCACAUCGACGGGGAGGUUUGGCACCUCGAUGUCGGCUCAUCGCAUCCUGGGGCUGUAGUCGGUCCCAAGGGUUGGGCUGUUCGCCCAUUAAAGCGGUACGCGAGCUGGGUUCAGAACGUCGUGAGACAGUUCGGUCCCUAUCCGUCGCGGGCGCAGGAAAUUUGAGAGGAGCUGUCCUUAGUACGAGAGGACCGGGAUGGACGUUCCGCUGGUGUACCAGUUGUGCCGCCAGGCGCAUCGCUGGGUAGCUAUGAACGGAAGGGAUAAACGCUGAAAGCAUCUAAGUGUGAAGCCCCCUCGAGAUGAGAUUUCCCAUUCCUAUAUGGAAGUAAGACCCCUGAGAGAUGAUCAGGUAGAUAGGCUGGAAGUGGAAGUGCAGCGAUGCAUGGAGCGGACCAGUACUAAUCGGUCGAGGACUUAACCAA